Molecule: ribosomal RNA, 506 nt
Filed under: uncultured bacterium
Lineage: Bacteria
Description: bacterial SSU rRNA
Rfam family: Bacterial small subunit ribosomal RNA
Source: RNAcentral
GAACGCUGGCGGCGUGCUUAACACAUGCAAGUCGAACGCGAAAGGGGACUUCGGUCCUGAGUAAAGUGGCGCACGGGUGAGUAACGCGUGGAUAAUCUGCCCUUAUGAUCGGGAUAACAGUUGGAAACGGCUGCUAAUACCGGAUACGCUCAAAAUGAACUUUUUGAGGAAAGAUGGCCUCUGCUUGCAUGCUAUCACGUAAGGAUGAGUCCGCGUCCCAUUAGCUUGUUGGCGGGGUAACGGCCCACCAAGGCAACGAUGGGUAGCCGAUUUGAGAGGAUGAUCGGCCACACUGGAACUGAAACACGGUCCAGACUCCUACGGGAGGCAGCAGUGGGGAAUAUUGCGCAAUGGGCGAAAGCCUGACGCAGCGACGCCGCGUGAGGGAUUGAAGGUUUUCGGAUCGUAAACCUCUGUCAGAAGGGAAGAAACUACGUUGUGCUAAUCAGCAGCGUACUGACGGUACCUUCAAAGGAAGCACCGGCUAACUCCGUGCCAGCCGCAGC